This 1499-nucleotide ribosomal RNA is filed under the name uncultured Bordetella sp. RNAcentral describes it as "partial 16S-23S ribosomal RNA intergenic spacer". It matches the Rfam family "Bacterial small subunit ribosomal RNA". Lineage: Bacteria; Pseudomonadati; Pseudomonadota; Betaproteobacteria; Burkholderiales; Alcaligenaceae. The record is from RNAcentral.
AGUUCGAUUAUGGCUCAGAUUGAACGCUGGCGGGAUGCUUUUUCUACACAUGCAAGUCGAACGGCAGCACGGACUUCGGUCUGGUGGCGAGUGGCGAACGGGUGAGUAAUGUAUCGGAACGUGCCUAGUAGCGGGGGAUAACUACGCGAAAGCGUGCAGCUACUACCCUAAGGCCGCCCUUCGGGGGAAAGCGGGGACCUUCGGGCCUCGCACUACGAGAGCGGCCGAUAUCGGAUUAGCCAGUUGGUGGGGUAACGGCUCACCAAGGCGACGAUCCGUGGCUGGUUUGAGAGGACGACCAGCCACACUGGGACUGAGACACACGGCCCAGACUCCUACGGGAGGGGCAGCAGUGGGGAAUUUGGACAAUGGGGGAAACCCCGAUCCAGCCAUCCGGCGUGUGCGAUGAAGGCCUUCGGGUUGUAAAAGCACUUUUGGCAGGAAAAGAAACGGCACGGGAUAAUACCCGUGCAACUGACGUACCUGCAGAAUAAGCACCGGCUAACUACGUGCCAGCAGCCGCGGUAAUACGUAGGGUGCAAGCGUUAAUCGGAAUUACUGGGCGUAAAGCGUGCGCAGGCGGUUCGGAAAGAAAGAUGUGUGAAAUCCCAGAGCUUAACUUUGGAACUGCAUUUUAACUACCGAGCUAGAGUGUGUCAGAGGGAGGUGGAAUUCCGCGUAGCAGUGAAAUGCGUAGAUAUGUGAGGAACACCGAUGGCGAAGGGCAGCCUCCUGGGAUAACACUGACGCUCAUGCACGAAAGCGUGGGGAGCAAACAGGAUUAGAUACCCUGGUAGUCCACGCCCUAAACGAUGUCAACUAGGCUGUUGGGGCCUUCUGGCCUUGGUAGCGCAGCUAACGCGUGAAGUUGACCGCCUGGGGAGUACGGUCGCAAGAUUAAACUCAAAGGAAUUGACGGGGACCCGCACAAGCGGUGGAUGAUGUGGAUUAAUUCGAUGCAACGCGAAAACCUUACCUACCCUUGACAUGUCUGGAAUCCCGAAGAGAUUUGGGAGUGCUCGCAAGAGAACCGGAACACAGGUGCUGCAUGGCUGUCGUCAGCUCGUGUCGUGAGAUGUUGGGUUAAGUCCUGCAACGAGCGCAACCCUUUGUCAUUAGUUGCUACGAAAGGGGCACUCUAAUGAGACUGCCGGUGACAAACCGAGGAAGGUGGGGAUGACGUCAAGUCCUCCAUGGCCCUUAUGGGUAGGGCUUCACACGUCAUACAAUGGUCGGGACAGAGGGUCGCCAACCCGCGAGGGGAGCCAAUCCCAGAAACCCGAUCGUAGUCCGGAUCGCAGCCUGCAACUCGACUGCGUGAAGUCGGAAUCGCUAGUAAUCGCGGAUCAGCAUGUCGCGGUGAAUACGUUCCCGGUCUUGUACAUAUUCGCCCGUCACACCAUGGGAGUGGGUUUUACCAGAAGUAGUUAGCCUAACCGUAAGGAGGGCGAUUACCACGCGGUAGGAUUCAUGACUGGGGUGAAGUCGUAACAAGGUAA